This 443-nucleotide long non-coding RNA is filed under the name Homo sapiens (human). RNAcentral's name for it is "HSALNT0360928". Lineage: Eukaryota; Metazoa; Chordata; Mammalia; Primates; Hominidae. The record is from RNAcentral.
AAAAAAAAAAAAAAAAAAGAAAAGAAAAAGAAAAAGAAAAGAAAAACCAGAAAAAACACAUAAAAUGCGCCAUUGCACUCUAGCCUGUGUGACAGAGUGAGACUCCAUUUCAAAAAAAAAAAAAGGCUGGGCACGGUGGCUCAUGCCUGUAAUUCCAGCACUUUGGGAGGCUGAGGCGGGUGGAUCAUGAGGUCAGGAGAUCGAGACCAUCCUGGCUAACACGGUGAAACCCUGUCUCUACUAAAAAUACAAAAACUUAGCCGGGCGUGGUGGCGGAUGCCUGUAGUCCCAGCUACUCAGGAGGCUGAGGCAGGAGAAUGGUAUGAACCCAUGAGGCGGAGCUUGCAGUGAGCCGAGAUUGCGCCACUGCAGUCCAGCUUGGGUCGCAGAGACAAACAAACAAACAAACAAAAAAACCCAGAAAAAAACCACAAAAAAACCCC